This 253-nucleotide ribosomal RNA is filed under the name uncultured bacterium. RNAcentral describes it as "partial 16S ribosomal RNA". It matches the Rfam family "Bacterial small subunit ribosomal RNA", at positions 524 to 776 of the family's 1533-position model. The record is from RNAcentral.
UACGGGGGGAGCAAGCGUUGUUCGGAUUUACUGGGCGUAAAGGGCGCGUAGGCGGCGCAACAAGUCACUUGUGAAAUCUUCGGGCUUAACCCGGAGCGGCCAAGUGAUACUGUCGUGCUAGAGUGCGGAAGGGGCUACUGGAAUUCCCGGUGUAGCGGUGAAAUGCGUAGAUAUCGAGAGGAACACCUGCGGCGAAGGCGGGUAGCUGGGCCGACACUGACGCUGAGGCGCGAAAGCGUGGGUAGCAAACAGG